ACGCUGGCGGCGUGCCUAAUACAUGCAAGUAGAACGCUGAGGUUUGGUGUUUACACUAGACUGAUGAGUUGCGAACGGGUGAGUAACGCGUAGGUAACCUGCCUCAUAGCGGGGGAUAACUAUUGGAAACGAUAGCUAAUACCGCAUAAGAGUAAUUAACACAUGUUGGUUAUUUAAAAGGAGCAAUUGCUUCACUGUGAGAUGGACCUGCGUUGUAUUAGCUAGUUGGUGAGGUAAAGGCUCACCAAGGCGACGAUACAUAGCCGACCUGAGAGGGUGAUCGGCCACACUGGGACUGAGACACGGCCCAGACUCCUACGGGAGGCAGCAGUAGGGAAUCUUCGGCAAUGGACGGAAGUCUGACCGAGCAACGCCGCGUGAGUGAAGAAGGUUUUCGGAUCGUAAAGCUCUGUUGUUAGAGAAGAACGUUGGUAGGAGUGGAAAAUCUACCAAGUGACGGUAACUAACCAGAAAGGGACGGCUAACUACGUGCCAGCAGCCGCGGUAAUACGUAGGUCCCGAGCGUUGUCCGGAUUUAUUGGGCGUAAAGCGAGCGCAGGCGGUUCUUUAAGUCUGAAGUUAACGGCAGUGGCUUAACCAUUGUACGCUUUGGAAACUGGAGGACUUGAGUGCAGAAGGGGAGAGUGGAAUUCCAUGUGUAGCGGUGAAAUGCGUAGAUAUAUGGAGGAACACCGGUGGCGAAAGCGGCUCUCUGGUCUGUAACUGACGCUGAGGCUCGAAAGCGUG
Molecule: ribosomal RNA, 747 nt
Filed under: uncultured Streptococcus sp.
Lineage: Bacteria; Bacillati; Bacillota; Bacilli; Lactobacillales; Streptococcaceae
Description: bacterial SSU rRNA
Rfam family: Bacterial small subunit ribosomal RNA
Source: RNAcentral